CCUACGGGUGGCAGCAGUGAGGAAUAUUGGUCAAUGGACGAGAGUCUGAACCAGCCAAGUAGCGUGAAGGAUGACUGCCCUAUGGGUUGUAAACUUCUUUUAUCUGGGAAUAAAAUGUUCCACGUGUGGGUUUUUGUAUGUACCAUAUGAAUAAGGAUCGGCUAACUCCGUGCCAGCAGCCGCGGUAAUACGGAGGAUGCGAGCGUUAUCCGGAUUUAUUGGGUUUAAAGGGUGCGUAGGUGGAUUGUUAAGUCAGUUGUGAAAGUUUGCGGCUCAACCGUAAAAUUGCAGUUGAAACUGGCAGUCUUGAGUACAGUAGAGGUGUGCGGAAUGCGUGGUGUAGCGGUGAAAUGCUUAGAUAUCACGAAGAACUCCGAUUGCGAAGGCAGCUUACUGGACUGCAACUGACACUGAGGCUCGAAAGUGUGGGUAUCAAACAGGAUUAGAUACCCUUGUAGUC
RNAcentral lists this ribosomal RNA (460 nucleotides) under uncultured bacterium. Its description in RNAcentral is "partial 16S ribosomal RNA". It matches the Rfam family "Bacterial small subunit ribosomal RNA", at positions 338 to 795 of the family's 1533-position model. The record is from RNAcentral.